AUUGAACGCUGGCGGCAUGCCUUACACAUGCAAGUCGAACGGUAACGGGUCCUUCGGGAUGCCGACGAGUGGCGAACGGGUGAGUAAUAUAUCGGAACGUGCCCAGUAGUGGGGGAUAACUGCUCGAAAGAGCAGCUAAUACCGCAUACGACCUGAGGGUGAAAGGGGGGGAUCGCAAGACCUCUCGCUAUUGGAGCGGCCGAUAUCAGAUUAGCUAGUUGGUGGGGUAAAGGCCUACCAAGGCAACGAUCUGUAGUUGGUCUGAGAGGACGACCAGCCACACUGGGACUGAGACACGGCCCAGACUCCUACGGGAGGCAGCAGUGGGGAAUUUUGGACAAUGGGCGCAAGCCUGAUCCAGCAAUGCCGCGUGCAGGAAGAAGGCCUUCGGGUUGUAAACUGCUUUUGUCAGGGAAGAAAUCUUCUGGGCUAAUACCCCGGGAGGAUGACGGUAGCUGAAGAAUAAGCACCGGCUAACUACGUG
Molecule: ribosomal RNA, 484 nt
Filed under: uncultured bacterium
Lineage: Bacteria
Description: partial 16S ribosomal RNA
Rfam family: Bacterial small subunit ribosomal RNA
Source: RNAcentral